UUUUAGGGAGACCUACCCAACUUGUAAGUUGUACUUCGGUACUGAUAAAGCUGCAAGAGGUCAUUACCUAGGUCGUUCGAUGAUUGGCUUUGGCUUCAAACUAUUAUUCGAUUCGGAUUAAUUAAAAAUUGUAAUGAGUAUAUAUAGUCAGCAACUAAAGUUAAAACUUAACUUAGCCUGCUGGAUGUAUAUCCAGUAAGAACCUUGAAAACUGCAUAGUGACGCAAAUUGUAGGCAGUAACCGUUAUCCUAAUUACGCGAGCGUAAUGAUGAAAACGGGUAUUGAAUUACAGACAAAUCCUUUGAAUUGAUUAAAUU
Molecule: unclassified non-coding RNA, 318 nt
Filed under: Dulcicalothrix sp. HA4186-MV5
Lineage: Bacteria; Bacillati; Cyanobacteriota; Cyanophyceae; Nostocales; Calotrichaceae
Description: Calothrix sp. HA4186-MV5 16S-23S ribosomal RNA intergenic spacer
Source: RNAcentral